GGCCCGAUAGCUCAGUUGGUUAGAGCGCCGCCCUGUCACGGCGGAGGUCGCCGGUUCAAGUCCGGUUCGGGUCG
This 74-nucleotide transfer RNA is filed under the name Aeriscardovia sp. RNAcentral's name for it is "tRNA-Asp". It matches the Rfam family "tRNA". From Rfam's summary of the family: Transfer RNA (tRNA) molecules are approximately 80 nucleotides in length. Their secondary structure includes four short double-helical elements and three loops (D, anti-codon, and T loops). The record is from RNAcentral. Lineage: Bacteria; Bacillati; Actinomycetota; Actinomycetes; Bifidobacteriales; Bifidobacteriaceae.